CCGGUCCUACGGGGCGCAGCAGUGGGGAAUAUUGCACAAUGGGGGGAACCCUGAUGCAGCGACGCCGCGUGGGUGAAGAAGUAUUUCGGUAUGUAAAGCCCUAUCAGCAGGGAAGAAAAAUGACGGUACCUGACUAAGAAGCCCCGGCUAACUACGUGCCAGCAGCCGCGGUAAUACGUAGGGGGCAAGCGUUAUCCGGAUUUACUGGGUGUAAAGGGAGCGUAGACGGCCAGACAAGUCAGAAGUGAAAGCCCAGGGCUCAACCCUGGGACUGCUUUUGAAACUGCCGGGCUGGAGUGCAGGAG
RNAcentral lists this ribosomal RNA (305 nucleotides) under uncultured bacterium. Its description in RNAcentral is "bacterial SSU rRNA". It matches the Rfam family "Bacterial small subunit ribosomal RNA", at positions 333 to 654 of the family's 1533-position model. The record is from RNAcentral.